Molecule: microRNA, 21 nt
Filed under: Arabidopsis thaliana (thale cress)
Lineage: Eukaryota; Viridiplantae; Streptophyta; Magnoliopsida; Brassicales; Brassicaceae
Description: ath-miR838
Gene: ath-miR838
Source: miRBase by way of RNAcentral
UUUUCUUCUACUUCUUGCACA